This 459-nucleotide ribosomal RNA is filed under the name uncultured bacterium. Its description in RNAcentral is "partial 16S ribosomal RNA". It matches the Rfam family "Bacterial small subunit ribosomal RNA", at positions 338 to 794 of the family's 1533-position model. The record is from RNAcentral.
CCUACGGGAGGCAACAGUGAGGAAUAUUGGUCAAUGGACGAGAGUCUGAACCAGCCAAGUAGCGUGAAGGAUGACUGCCCUAUGGGUUGUAAACUUCUUUUAUAUGGGAAUAAAAUGUUCCACGUGUGGGAUUUUGUAUGUACCAUAUGAAUAAGGAUCGGCUAACUCCGUGCCAGCAGCCGCGGUAAUACGGAGGAUCCGAGCGUUAUCCGGAUUUAUUGGGUUUAAAGGGAGCGUAGGUGGAUUGUUAAGUCAGUUGUGAAAGUUUGCGGCUCAACCGUAAAAUUGCAGUUGAAACUGGCAGUCUUGAGUACAGUAGAGGUGGGCGGAAUUCGUGGUGUAGCGGUGAAAUGCUUAGAUAUCACGAAGAACUCCGAUUGCGAAGGCAGUUCACUGGACUGCAACUGACACUGAGGCUCGAAAGUGUGGGUAUCAAACAGGAUUAGAUACCCGAGUAGU